AUUGAACGCUGGCGGCAUGCCUUACACAUGCAAGUCGAACGGUAACGGGCCUUCGGGUGCCGACGCUUGGCGAACGGGUGAGUAAUACAUCGGAACGUGCCCUAUCGUUGGGGAUAACGAGGCGAAAGCUUUGCUAAUACCGCAUCCGAUCUACGGAUGAACGCCGGGGACCGCGAGGCCUUGCGCGGACGGAGCGGCCGAUGGCAGAUUCGUUAGUUGGUGGGAUAAAAGCUUACCAAGCCGACGAUCUGUAGCUGGUCUGAGAGGAUGAUCAGCCACACUGGGACUGAGACACGGCCCAGACUCCUACGGGAGGCAGCAGUGGGGAAUGGUGGACAAUGGGCGCAAGCAUGAUCCAGCCAGGCCGCGUGCAGGAUGAAGGCCUGCGGGUUGGAAAAUGCGUGUGUACGGAACGAAAAGCCUUCUUUUAAUACAGGAGGGUAAUGACGGUACCGGAAGAAUAAGCACCGGCUAACUACGUG
Molecule: ribosomal RNA, 482 nt
Filed under: uncultured bacterium
Lineage: Bacteria
Description: partial 16S ribosomal RNA
Rfam family: Bacterial small subunit ribosomal RNA
Source: RNAcentral